GAUGAACGCUGGCGGCGUGCCCAAUACAUGCAAGUCGAGCGAACAGACGAGGAGCUUGCUCCUCUGACGUUAGCGGCGGACGGGUGAGUAACACGUGGAUAACCUACCUAUAAGACUGGGAUAACUUCGGGAAACCGGAGCUAAUACCGGAUAAUAUAUUGAACCGCAUGGUUCAAUAGUGAAAGACGGUUUUGCUGUCACUUAUAGAUGGAUCCGCGCCACAUUAGCUAGUUGGUAAGGUAACGGCUUACCAAGGCAACGAUGCGUAGCCGACCUGAGAGGGUGAUCGGCCACACUGGAACUGAGACACGGUCCAGACUCCUACGGGAGGCAGCAGUAGGGAAUCUUCCGCAAUGGGCGAAAGCUUGACGGAGCAACGCCGCGUGAGUGAUGAAGGUCUUCGGAUCGUAAAACUCUGUUAUUAGGGAAGAACAAAUGUGUAAGUAACUAUGCACGUCUUGACGGUACCUAAUCAGAAAGCCACGGCUAACUACGUG
Molecule: ribosomal RNA, 497 nt
Filed under: uncultured bacterium
Lineage: Bacteria
Description: partial 16S ribosomal RNA
Rfam family: Bacterial small subunit ribosomal RNA
Source: RNAcentral